UACGUAGGGGGCGAGCGUUGUCCGGAAUUAUUGGGCGUAAAGAGCUCGUAGGCGGCUUGUCGCGUCGACUGUGAAAACUUGGGGCUCAACCCCAAGCUUGCAGUCGAUACGGGCAGGCUAGAGUUCGGUAGGGGAGACUGGAAUUCCUGGUGUAGCGGUGAAAUGCGCAGAUAUCAGGAGGAACACCGAUGGCGAAGGCAGGUCUCUGGGCCGAUACUGACGCUGAGGAGCGAAAGCGUGGGGAGCGAACAGG
Molecule: ribosomal RNA, 253 nt
Filed under: uncultured bacterium
Lineage: Bacteria
Description: partial 16S ribosomal RNA
Rfam family: Bacterial small subunit ribosomal RNA
Source: RNAcentral